GCUCGACCCGAAAGGGGACUGGCACUGGACACAGAACAGCAGGAGAGAGUGGAGUGACACCACACCGAGCCAGGGAAUGGACUACCCAACAAAGCACACCAGUGGCAUCGGAUGAAGGGCUGUGGCUACCUUCGCUCCGACCACCAGCCUGACCCAAAUGCAGAACCUGAUGCACACCCACACUGACAUAAGUUGUUGAGAGUCAG
Molecule: non-coding RNA, 206 nt
Organism: Pelobates cultripes (western spadefoot toad)
Lineage: Eukaryota; Metazoa; Chordata; Amphibia; Anura; Pelobatidae
Source: the annotation of a GenBank genome assembly